This 350-nucleotide ribosomal RNA is filed under the name uncultured bacterium. Its description in RNAcentral is "bacterial SSU rRNA". It matches the Rfam family "Bacterial small subunit ribosomal RNA", at positions 355 to 697 of the family's 1533-position model. The record is from RNAcentral.
UGGGGAAUUUUGGACAAUGGGCGAAAGCCUGAUCCAGCAAUGCCGCGUGUGCGAUGACGGCCUUCGGGUUGUAAAGCACUUUCAGUUGUGAAGAAAUGUACACGGCUAAUACCCGUGUAAGCUGACGUUAACAACAAAAGAAGCACCGGCUAACUCUGUGCCAGCAGCCGCGGUAAUACAGAGGGUGCGAGCGUUAAUCGGAAUUACUGGGCGUAAAGAGCGCGUAGGUGGUCUACUAAGUCAUGUGUGAAAGCCCUGAGCUUAACUUAGGAAUUGCAUGUGAUACUGGUAGUCUAGAGUAUGGUAGAGGGAAGUGGAAUUUCCGGUGUAGCGGUGAAAUGCAUAGAUAU